Molecule: long non-coding RNA, 1845 nt
Organism: Spodoptera frugiperda (fall armyworm)
Lineage: Eukaryota; Metazoa; Arthropoda; Insecta; Lepidoptera; Noctuidae
Exons: 4
Source: RefSeq, a predicted model, not a curated record
CGUAAAGUAGACAGUGUUGUACGCAGUGUUAUAUCUCAUGAUUAUUGCUGAUAGCUGAUGGUGCAUCGUGGUUAAAAUUGGAGUACAUAAAUCAUAAACGACAUCCAUGGAUGUGACCAAAUAACAAAUAGAAUAAAAUUUUAGGGCUUAUUAUCAUCAUCAGUGUCAGUGUCAAAACUAUCAUUUAAGAAAAUGAUGAGAUGGAAAAGUGUGAUCGUGUUAAUAUUGGUCAUAUUCGUAAUGUUGUGUCUAGCACAAGAGGUCCCUCGCGAAAUAACUAAACCAUUUCAAAAGUCUCCAUGGCAAAAGUUCAAGGACGGAGUAGGAAGUAUAGGAAGUAGCAUAAAACAUUUUUUUAUUGACAUUGGAGAUGGCAUCGGGAACUUCUUUAAAAAAGGCUGGCGAAAAUUAACAGGUUAAGAAGACUGAUACACAGAAAUGAGAGCACGCAUAUAAACUGCGGAAACCAAAGAAGAGGACUCAUGGAGUUUCUUGAUUAUGUCUAUUUCGUAUACCACAGAGUAGCCCAAGUAUCAGUGCGACCGACGACCACGGACAAACAAACAUCUGCUAACGAGAUUGCACUGCAAGUACAAGUUUAUUGCAGUUGAUUGAAUGACACUAGAACUAAUCUAGUAGAUUGAUUGAUUGACAGGAAAAGCAUAAUUGAAACGCUAAGUCCAAAACUUAUAGAAAACAAUUUUAUAAGUGAAAAGUGAUCAUGUGUACGAACGGACGGCUUUUUAGUAGCGAGUGCUAAGAAAUUAUUCUGUGAAUUAUAAUUAUUUAGGUAUUUUUAAAGGAUAUUUAAGUAAACUUCUUUAACUUUGAGAAGCUGAGUUUGUUUUGGAAUUUAAUCACAACUGAAUAAUUGGGGUUUAGUAUAAACAUUGGUCCUACGUGGGAUUCAUUAGAGGUGUUUAGGUAGGUACACCUAUUGUUCGGUUCAUCGAGUACGACAUGAUUCAUAAUAACAAGAACGUCAGUGCAAUUUAUUUACUUCCUACUAUUCGGACGAGUGGUAAAUAAAAAAAUCACGCUAAAUUUGUCUGCCCGCCUGAUUACACUGACACACGUGCGUGCAAAAGUGAAUUCAGACCUUCCUGUUGAUCCUUUGUGAGCAGUAGGAGUUAGUACGUUGAGCGCUCAGCACAACCAUUGUUGUAUUUGUAGUAAUAGACGACUAUACUAUUACCAAACAUUUAUUGAUAGCCAAUUGGGACAAAACGGAACUUGUAUUGAAGUAACGUUGUAAAUUUUACUAUGGAUUUACGUCUGACUAUUCUCCUAUGUUUUUUUGUAAUCGUAGUUGCGUCGGCUGUUCCCGCGGAUCGUAGGGAAGUGUUUCGCUCGAGGCGGGAUGUGAUGGACACCAUGAGGAACGCGUGGAGCGAGGUCGUGAAGACCCUGUCUGACGCUGGUGACGCGGUCGUGCAUGUAUUCAAGCCGACGGAGAAGAGCGUCAUUGGCAAAUUAACAGACGGGUAUAAGACUUUCACAAAAUAACCAGAUCUUUGCAAUACCUACUAGUGCUUACGUAAGAACAAGUAUUGACACUCUAUUGGUAUAGCGGUACAAGUCAGUUCAUAAUAAUAUUAUUAUUGAUGUAAUUCUAAUUGUUUGAUUAUUUGGAAUUAAAUUACGAAAUAUAUUUACGAAUACAAUAUUCUCUGAUGCCAAUGCAGUGCUACUUACAUGCUACAGCGUGUAAGUCAAGUAAUUAAACAAUUUAUCAGCCCCAAGAAUAAGUACACAUAUGAAAACAUUCAUACUCAUUUCGAAUUUUAUAAUCGUAGGUUUAUUGAAACUUUUAUAAUAUAAGUGCUAAAUAAAAGUAUAAUUUUA